GAGUGUUACAGCUCUUUUAGAAUUUGUCUAGCAGGUUUUCUGACUUCUGUCGGAAAACCCCU
RNAcentral lists this small nuclear RNA (62 nucleotides) under Peromyscus maniculatus bairdii (prairie deer mouse). Its description in RNAcentral is "U7 small nuclear RNA (ENSPEMG00000005495.2)". It matches the Rfam family "U7 small nuclear RNA". Rfam says of the family: Animal histone pre-mRNAs are spliced by a different mechanism than nuclear pre-mRNAs and self-splicing introns. The record is from Rfam by way of RNAcentral. Lineage: Eukaryota; Metazoa; Chordata; Mammalia; Rodentia; Cricetidae.